Molecule: ribosomal RNA, 429 nt
Filed under: uncultured bacterium
Lineage: Bacteria
Description: bacterial SSU rRNA
Rfam family: Bacterial small subunit ribosomal RNA
Source: RNAcentral
GAUGAACGCUGGCGGCGUGCUUAAUACAUGCAAGUCGAACGAAGAGCAUUGAGUUCGCUUGGUGCUUUUAGUGGCGAACGGGUGAGUAACGCGUUGGUGACCUGCCCCGAAGUGGGGGACAACAGUUCGAAAGGGCUGCUAAUACCCCAUGUGGUCUGGAGAGCUAGACACCUCCAGUCUAAAGGAGUAAUUCGCUUCGGGAGGGGCCUGCGUCCCAUCAGCUAGUUGGUAGGGUAAUGGCCUACCAAGGCUUCGACGGGUAGGGGACCUGAGAGGGUGACCCCCCACAAUGGAACUGAAACACGGUCCAUACACCUACGGGUGGCAGCAGUAGGGAAUAUUGCACAAUGGGCGAAAGCCUGAUGCAGCAACGCCGCGUGUACGACGAAGGCCUUCGGGUCGUAAAGUACUUUUCGGGGAGAUGAGGAA